RNAcentral lists this ribosomal RNA (930 nucleotides) under Leuconostoc citreum. Its description in RNAcentral is "bacterial SSU rRNA". It matches the Rfam family "Bacterial small subunit ribosomal RNA", at positions 56 to 968 of the family's 1533-position model. The record is from RNAcentral. Lineage: Bacteria; Bacillati; Bacillota; Bacilli; Lactobacillales; Lactobacillaceae.
UGCAGUCGAACGCGCAGCGAGAGGUGCUUGCACCUUUCAAGCGAGUGGCGAACGGGUGAGUAACACGUGGAUAACCUGCCUCAAGGCUGGGGAUAACAUUUGGAAACAGAUGCUAAUACCGAAUAAAACUUAGUAUCGCAUGAUAUCAAGUUAAAAGGCGCUACGGCGUCACCUAGAGAUGGAUCCGCGGUGCAUUAGUUAGUUGGUGGGGUAAAGGCUUACCAAGACGAUGAUGCAUAGCCGAGUUGAGAGACUGAUCGGCCACAUUGGGACUGAAACACGGCCCAAACUCCUACGGGAGGCUGCAGUAGGGAAUCUUCCACAAUGGGCGCAAGCCUGAUGGAGCAACGCCGCGUGUGUGAUGAAGGCUUUCGGGUCGUAAAGCACUGUUGUAUGGGAAGAAAUGCUAAAAUAGGGAAUGAUUUUAGUUUGACGGUACCAUACCAGAAAGGGACGGCUAAAUACGUGCCAGCAGCCGCGGUAAUACGUAUGUCCCGAGCGUUAUCCGGAUUUAUUGGGCGUAAAGCGAGCGCAGACGGUUGAUUAAGUCUGAUGUGAAAGCCCGGAGCUCAACUCCGGAAUGGCAUUGGAAACUGGUUAACUUGAGUGUUGUAGAGGUAAGUGGAACUCCAUGUGUAGCGGUGGAAUGCGUAGAUAUAUGGAAGAACACCAGUGGCGAAGGCGGCUUACUGGACAACAACUGACGUUGAGGCUCGAAAGUGUGGGUAGCAAACAGGAUUAGAUACCCUGGUAGUCCACACCGUAAACGAUGAAUACUAGGUGUUAGGAGGUUUCCGCCUCUUAGUGCCGAAGCUAACGCAUUAAGUAUUCCGCCUGGGGAGUACGACCGCAAGGUUGAAACUCAAAGGAAUUGACGGGGACCCGCACAAGCGGUGGAGCAUGUGGUUUAAUUCGAAGCAACGCGAAGAA